This 344-nucleotide unclassified non-coding RNA is filed under the name Hevea brasiliensis (rubber tree). The record is from RNAcentral. Lineage: Eukaryota; Viridiplantae; Streptophyta; Magnoliopsida; Malpighiales; Euphorbiaceae.
GCAGCAUAAUUAACAAAGGCAGCAGGAUGAUUUUGGUCUUUAAGGAUCAAUUCCUGAAAACAUUUUGCUGAUAGCUCCAUAUUUCCGCUUUGAAGAUAUGCAAUCCCCAGGUUUCCAAGGCAAUCAUAGUUGUAGUUGCAAGGGUCAAUUGCCAACAAAGAUGACAAAACUGAAAUAGCACUCUGCAGACGACCAGAUUUAAGAAGUAUCAAGCCCAGUGUGUUCCAAACAGCUGCUUGUCUUAUAUCUGAUUGCAUCGACUCCUUUAAUCUAGAAAGGAUUUCAUCAAGCUCUUCAGCUUCAAGUUCUUUAUCCAAACUAUUAUCGGCAGAAUUUUCAAGGAG